GUUGGGUUUUGUUUUUUGUUUGGGGUUUUUUUUUUUGUUUUGUUUUGUUUUUGUUUUUAGCUUAAUUUUUGGAAUUUGAAGAGAACAACAACAACCUUGGUAUUAAAAUUAAACUGAAGACUGAAGGAUAUAUAAAUUCUAGGUAUUUAUGUUUCCAAAAGGACACAAGUUGACAUGCAUUAAUUUUUUAAAAUAUUUUUUUUAGAUGUCGAUGGAAUUUUAUUUUUAUUUAUUUAUUCAUAUGUGGUACUGAGAAUCGAACCCAGUGCCUCACACAUGCUAGGCAAGCACUCCACCACUGAGCCACAAUCCCAGCCCACAUUAAUUUUUAUUUUUAAAGAAUACAUACAAAACUGUUAAGUGAUUAUUGCUGAGGAACUAGAUGUGUCUGUGUCAGUCAUUCUGUUUGAAUGUCUGUCAGGGGAUGGAAAAACUAGGAGGAACACUUAUACCUGUUAGAUUUUUACCUUUCUGUAAAUUUGGAUUUUUUCUUUUUUAAACCAGGAAUAUUACUUUUGUUUGUUUAAUAGCAGUAGGGUAUAUGUGGACAGUGAGGUGAGACUGGAGAGGAAUCUACUUGGGCUUUCUCAAAAAUAAGUUCCAUUAGUUUGAAAAAAAAUAAAAGAAUUAACACAACUAAGUGAGGACUCCUAUUGUUUAAUGUGAUUGGCAGUAAUGGAAUUCUUUUAAUGUGAGUGACAGAGGUAAAAUUAGUUUUUUAGUUAAUAGCUACUUGAAGUAUUUUAUCAAGCUUUAAUUGUAUGGAACUUGAGGAAAUUCAUUUUUCUGAACAGAAAUUUUUUUCCAAAUCAUUAGAUUUCAUUCUUUUAAGCAACAAAAUGUCUUAUUAAAAAUCUUUCCAGGGCUGGGGUUGUGGCUCAGUGGUAGAGUGCUCACCUAGAAUGCAUGAGGCACCACAUAAAAAUAAAAUAAAGAUAUUGUAUUCAAGGUGCUGGGAUAGUAGCCCAGUGGUAGAGCACUUACUUGCCUAGCAUGUGUGAGGCAUUGGGUUUGAUUUUCAGCACUGCAUAUAAAUAAAUAAUAAAAUAAAGGCCCGUUGGGGGAAAAAAAUUAUAUCCACUUAAAACUAAAAAAUAAAUAUUUUUUAAAAAAUAUUUUUCGGGCCUGGGGAUGUGGUUCAAGUGGUAGCGCGCUCGCCUGGCAUGUGCAGGCACUAGGUUCGACCCUCAGCACCACAUAAAAAUAAAAUAGAGAUGUUGUGUCCACUGAAAACUAAAAAUAUAAAUAAAUAUUAAAAAAUUCUCUCUCUCUUUAAAAAAAAUAUUUUUCAAAACUUGUUACAUUUUUAAUGGCAUGUAGAAAAUAAACAUUUCUUAAUAACCCCACAAUUAUUAUCAUAAAUUCAAGUUGUAUUUUAUUGUUUUUUCCCAAACUGUCUGGCCCUAAUAAUGAUUUGGUUUGUUUUGUGUCUCUGUUCCAUACACUUCUUAUUUGUUGUCAGUUUUCAGUCGUAACAGUUUAACAAAAAUGAAUUUAACUGAAUCAGGUUUUGCCCCUUCUGAUCUGCUUUAAGAUUAGAAUUCAGGCUGGGCAGGUGACGCACACCUGUAAUCGCUGAGGCAGGAGGAUCACAAGUUCAAGACCAGCCUGGGCAACUUAGCAAGACACUUUCCCCCCAGCUUUUUUUUUUUUUUUUUUUAAUUUUAAGGGAUGGGGGUAUAGUUUGGUGGUAGAGCACCCCUAGGGUUCAAUCCCCAGUACCACAAAAAGAAGAAAAAAAUAUAAUUCGGAUUGGAAUGUUUCUAGGACUUGUGUUUAUGGUUGUCAAUCUAGUAUAGGACUGCAGUGUGUGCUCACUGUGGUAUCUGUUGGAUGCUGGGAAACUUUCUGGAUUGUUUCUUGGUUCUUAGCGAUGUUUUAAGUUGUUGGCCUAGAGAAUUCCAAAGGCAGCAGUAUAUAUGAAAGUUAGAUUCAUAAAACAAAGAUUGUUUGCUUUACAGAAAGAAUAUAGUAAUUGUUCAGAUUGAAGCUACCCUUGUACAUCAAGUAUGUGACAUGAUUAUAAGAAGUUAUAAAUGUGUAAUUCAUAAAGCAUCUGUGAAGUAAGUUUGGUUGUUUUUCAAACCCUUUUAGUACCAUUUUUAUCCACUAGGUGGAAACAACUACAGAAUGGACUACAUUAAAGACCUUGUAUUACAGUUUUUAUACUGAUUUAUGCAGGACUAGAAUGAAAGUAUUUUACCAUGAAUUGGUUUCUGUCUAGGAAAGAAAUUAAUAUUUAUACAUAUUUGUAAAAUAGAAAGAUAUUUUAAGCAGGAUUAUUAUUUUAUUCCUUUGUGUACUAUUAGUAGCCUCUCUUGCCUAAUAAAUGUUUGAACUCAGGAGAGGGCAAGGAAGAAUUUUCUUGCUGUUGUUAAUUAGGUUUAGUUUUAGGAAACUAAAACUAAUCAUAAAUGAACCUGUACUUCCAAAAAUUGUAUUUUAAUUUUCCUCCUAGAUACUUUAUAAAUAAUCUUAGUGGUUAAAAAAAAAAAAAAAAAAAAAAAACAUUAAAUUAAAAAUAGAAUAAGGUACACUGGGCCCUGGUAAGUUUUAUUAACAAAUAAUAAAAUAAUGCUUUGCUGUCUCUGGUGGUUUUAAAAU
Molecule: long non-coding RNA, 2604 nt
Filed under: Marmota monax (woodchuck)
Lineage: Eukaryota; Metazoa; Chordata; Mammalia; Rodentia; Sciuridae
Source: RNAcentral